RNAcentral lists this ribosomal RNA (1413 nucleotides) under uncultured organism. RNAcentral's name for it is "bacterial SSU rRNA". It matches the Rfam family "Bacterial small subunit ribosomal RNA". The record is from RNAcentral.
GAUCCUGGCUCAGGAUGAACGCUAGCGGCAGGCCUAACACAUGCAAGUCGAGGGGUAAGGCUCUUUCGGGAGUACACGACCGGCGCACGGGUGAGUAUCGCGUUUGCAAUCUACCUCUAACUGGGGCAUAGCCCGGAGAAAUUCGGAUUAAUACCCCAUAAUGUCAUGAGAUCGCAUGAUUUUAUGAUUAAAGCUUUGGCGGUUAGAGAUGAGCAUGCGUGUCAUUAGCUUGUUGGUGAGGUAACAGCUCACCAAGGCAACGAUGACUAGGGGGUCUGAGAGGAUGAUCCCCCACACUGGUACUGAGACACGGACCAGACUCCUACGGGAGGCAGCAGUGAGGAAUAUUGGGCAAUGGGCGAAAGCCUGACCCAGCCAUGCCGCGUGCAGGAUGACUGCCCUAUGGGUUGUAAACUGCUUUUAUACGGGAAGAAUGGUUCCUACGUGUAGGGAUUUGACGGUACCGUAAGAAUAAGCAUCGGCUAACUCCGUGCCAGCAGCCGCGGUAAUACGGAGGAUGCAAGCGUUAUCCGGAUUCAUUGGGUUUAAAGGGUGCGUAGGCGGAAUAUUAAGUCAGUGGUGAAAUCCUGCAGCUUAACUGUAGAACUGCCAUUGAUACUGGUAUUCUUGAAUAUAGUUGAGGUGGGCGGAAUAUGUAAUGUAGCGGUGAAAUGCUUAGAUAUUACAUAGAACACCGAUUGCGAAGGCAGCUCACUAAACUAACAUUGACGCUGAGGCACGAAAGCGUGGGGAGCGAACAGGAUUAGAUACCCUGGUAGUCCACGCCGUAAACUAUGAUCACUCGCUGUUGGCAAUACAUCGUCAGCGGCUGAGCGAAAGCAUUAAGUGAUCCACCUGGGGAGUACGGUCGCCAGAUUGAAACUCAAAGGAAUUGACGGGGGCCCGCACAAGCGGACGAACCUGUGGUUUACUUCGAUGAUACGCGAGGGACCUUACCUGAGCUUAAAUGCAGAGCGACGUCCGCCGAAAGGCGGAUUCCUUCGGGCGAACUGCAAGGUGCUGCAUGGCUGUCGCCAGCUCGUGCCGUGAGGUGUCGGGUUAAGUCCCAUAACGAGCGCAACCCUUAUCGUUAGUUGCCAGCGGGUAAUGCCGGGGACUCUAACGAAACUGCCGGUGUAAACCGUGAGGAAGGUGGGGAUGACGUCAAGUCAGCACGGCCAUUAUGUCCAGGGCUACACACGUGUUACAAUGGUCGGUACAAAGGGCAGCUACCUGGUGACAGGAUGCUAAUCUCGAAAACCGAUCUCAGUUCGGAUUGAAGUCUGCAACUCGACUUCAUGAAGCUGGAUUCGCUAGUAAUCGCGCAUCAGCCACGGCGCGGUGAAUACGUUCCCGGGCCUUGUACACACCGCCCGUCAAGCCAUGAAGCUUGGGGUACCUGAAGUCCGUAAC